RNAcentral lists this non-coding RNA (30 nucleotides) under Rattus norvegicus (Norway rat). Lineage: Eukaryota; Metazoa; Chordata; Mammalia; Rodentia; Muridae. The record is from RNAcentral.
UGAUGGGAGAUUGUAUGUGUGUAGGUAGAU